CCCUUAGAUGUUCUGGGCCGCACGCGCGCUACACUGAUGCAUUCAACGAGCCUAUCCUUGACCGACAGGUCCGGGUAAUCUUUGAAUCUGCAUCGUGACGGGGAUAGAUUAUUGCAAUUAUUAAUCUUCAACGAGGAAUGCCUAGUAGGCGCAAGUCAUCAGCUUGCGUCGAUUACGUCCCUGCCCUUUGUACACACCGCCCGUCGCUCCUACCGAUUGGGUGUGCUGGUGAAAUGUUCGGAUCGGCCGUUUGUCGCGGUUUCCGAGGCUCGUGGCUGAGAAGUUCAUUAAACCCUCCCACCUAGAGGAAGGAGAAGUCGUAACA
Molecule: ribosomal RNA, 325 nt
Filed under: uncultured eukaryote
Lineage: Eukaryota
Description: partial 18S ribosomal RNA
Rfam family: Eukaryotic small subunit ribosomal RNA
Source: RNAcentral